Molecule: long non-coding RNA, 337 nt
Organism: Ixodes scapularis (black-legged tick)
Lineage: Eukaryota; Metazoa; Arthropoda; Arachnida; Ixodida; Ixodidae
Exons: 3
Source: RefSeq, a predicted model, not a curated record
UGUCCCUACCUGUGGGGUGUGCAAUGGCUGCACGGCAUGGCCACCCUACAAAUCAAAUCGGUUGAUGAUGGCAAUUAGAGAGCGUGAAGAGCCCUCGACUGACUGGGCCACAUUCUCCUGUCAGGUGAUGGCAUCAUGUUUGACAUAUGAAAAUGCAAAGUACAAAAAAAAAAAAAAUUCGGAAGCGACGUCCGACCUAACAUUGAAUAAUGAAGAGCGGGAGAAGAGAAAAAGGAAGAGACUGCAGCAUACUCUUUCUUCAUUUGAGGAUGAGGACUUCUAUGACCAAGAUGAACGACGUAACACUCAGCCAGCCCCUCAACUUCCAGAACGUGCA